UAUUAUCUUCAGAAAACAAAAUUAACAAAUAGAAUUUAAUAGAUGUAAAACAGUGUUGCUACACACUCAUGAACAGUAGUUGGCGGUAUGCACCUUAAAGUUGCUUGCGAUCCGCCAUGAUAGAAGAGAAGAAGAAGAAGAAGAAGAAGAAGAAGAAGAAGUAAAAAAAAACGUGCUGAGCGCUCCGCUCCUGUGUGUUCAUGUCCUCAGGCGCUAUGAACCGGAGAAAGGGUAAGAUUUAAAGAAUAUGCUUUCAUUCUGCGGUAAAAGGAAAUAGAUACCGAUCAUAACUGUACAUUUUGUUUUCACAGACUAAGCACGCCUCAUAAUGAGGCGGUGACCUAUUUGCUUGGAGCAAUAACUGUGUAAGUCCAGAUUUACACGAUGUUGAUAAAGACGACAUUGUGUCCGCCUGUAAGACGUAUUAUGAGACGGUACGCAGGAGCUGAAGCUGCCAAGAAUUCAGCUCGCAGUCGAGCUAGAAGAAAGAGGCUGCUGGAAUCGAGGCAGAGUGUGCAGGCGGAUGAGGAAGUGGAACUGUGGAAGUCCGCCACCGUCGACCGCAUGUCUGGCGAAGAAGAUGGCGUCGUUGGCGGGGUCUCUGGAUGGAUUGUACGGCCGCCGUCAUUUCGUAGGCUGGAUCUCUCUGAACUCUGUGUGAAGCUGCAUUCC
Molecule: long non-coding RNA, 672 nt
Organism: Fundulus heteroclitus (mummichog)
Lineage: Eukaryota; Metazoa; Chordata; Actinopteri; Cyprinodontiformes; Fundulidae
Exons: 3
Source: RefSeq, a predicted model, not a curated record